UUUGACAUAGGAGAUGGCAUUCUCCUUCAACCGCUCGCCCUCGAGCCGAUGAUGCCUACCCCGCG
This 65-nucleotide non-coding RNA is filed under the name unidentified. Its description in RNAcentral is "Candidatus Burkholderia Fluoride sequence". It matches the Rfam family "Fluoride riboswitch aptamer (crcB RNA motif)". The record is from RNAcentral.